This 774-nucleotide ribosomal RNA is filed under the name uncultured Neocallimastigales. RNAcentral describes it as "partial large subunit ribosomal RNA". It matches the Rfam family "Eukaryotic large subunit ribosomal RNA", at positions 23 to 628 of the family's 3401-position model. The record is from RNAcentral. Lineage: Eukaryota; Fungi; Neocallimastigomycota; Neocallimastigomycetes; Neocallimastigales.
GAGACUCUGUGCGCGUGCAUAUCAAUAAGCGGAGGAAAAGAAACUAACAAGGAUUCCCUUAGUAACGGCGAGUGAAGCGGGAAGAGCUCAAAUUUGAAAUCUUCAAGGUUCUACCUUGACGAAUUGUAGUUUAUAGAAGUGUUUUCUGUUAGUGGAGUGGCAAAAGUUCUUUGGAAUAGGACAUCAUAGAGGGUGAGAAUCCCGUAUUUGGUCAUUCCUCCUAGCGUUGUGAUACACUUUCAACGAGUCGGAUUGUUUGGGAAUGCAGUCCAAAAUGGGUGGUAAAUUUCAUCUAAAGCUAAAUAUUGGCGAGAGACCGAUAGCGAACAAGUACCGUGAGGGAAAGAUGAAAAGAACUUUGAAAAGAGAGUUAAACAGUACGCGAAAUUGUCAAAAGGGAAGCGUUUGACACCAGUGUUGUUUAGUUGAAAAUCAAAUCAAUAAUUUUUGAUUUUGAGUAGUAUUGACUUCAUCAGCUUGCUGCUUUCUUUUCCGAAAUUAUUUAAUGCACUUUUCAGUUAACAAGUCAACAUCAAUUUCUUUUGUUGUAAAAGGGUAAGAGGAAGGUGGCUUACGCUUCGGCGUAAGUGUUUAUAGCCUUUUACCUCUGCAAUCGGAGAGAUUGAGGACAGCAGCGUAGACUCUUCGGGGUUAGAUACACUUGUGCUAAGCUAUAGCCUUGUAUAGACAACUUGUUGACUAUGCUCAGUCAUGUAGCUUACUCGCUUGUGCUAUUUUACCUACGCUUAGGAUGUUGAGUCGUAGAGCACGCAG